GAGCAAGACUCCAUCUCAAACAAACAAAGAAACUGAUUACAGAUGUACAACAUCAUGCCUGGCUACCACAUAUGAUCUUUUAACAGUAAACGUUAUAGUUCUCAGAACAUCUGAUUGUUCCAAGACAUAUUCUUCAGAUAACACCUAAGCUGCACUGCUGUGAAA
Long non-coding RNA from Sapajus apella (tufted capuchin), 165 nucleotides. RefSeq lists it as uncharacterized. The transcript is spliced from 2 exons. The record is from RefSeq and is a predicted model, not a curated record. Lineage: Eukaryota; Metazoa; Chordata; Mammalia; Primates; Cebidae.